Pelobates cultripes (western spadefoot toad) is the source of this 1093-nucleotide non-coding RNA. The record is from the annotation of a GenBank genome assembly. Lineage: Eukaryota; Metazoa; Chordata; Amphibia; Anura; Pelobatidae.
CACAACCAUCGCUUAUAUUGGAAUCGUUCGCAGCCUCAGAUUCUCAACGUUCGGUAAUGCGCUAAAGAGAAGACAAGCUGUGUUUCUUUCCGUUAUCGUGUUUUGCAUUUUUGUGAUAUGUUUUGGGCCAACCAAUGUCAUCUUCCUAUCUAACUAUUUGUAUUUACUGAAUGGCAUUGUCAAUGAGUAUCUGUAUUUUGCCUAUAUCCUGUGUGUCUGUGUUGGCAGUAUUAGCUGUUGUCUUGACCCACUCCUUUAUUACUAUGUGUCCCCAGAAUGUCAGAUAUACCUGUACCGGUUACUCAGUGGUAAGGACACCACUAGUUUGAGCAGAACCAAAGAACUAUUAGAAAAAUAGCUCUCCCUGUGACAUUUGAAUAACACACAUAAUUCAUUGCUUGUGACAAAUCCAGAAAAGGUAUGAAAUAUUUAUCCGUAGACUAGAUGCAAAAAGAUUGAAAUGCAUUACUGUUUGUUUCUCUAUAUAAGAUAAUAUUAGCUGCAUAUUCCAUUACUGUAUAUAAGAUAAUAUUAGCAGCAUAUUCCAUUACUGUAUAUAGCAUAAUAUAAGCUAUGGUGAAUGAAUCAUAAUGUUCAAGGAUAAACACAUAUAUUCUACUACUUCAGUCCAAAUACCUGUCAGCACAGAGUGGAUUUAAGUAUACACUGCUUGUUAUUUCUAAGCCACACAUAUGGGCAGAGAUCCAUCAGCCUCCAACUAACCAGGGGAGAUGUAUAUGCACUGCCACCCACACCCACACACUGAACCUUUUACACACAUUGCACCCCUCACACAUUGCACCACUGCUCCUAUACCCUACUACAGCCCCAUAUCACAGCAGACUCCAGGUAAGUUGUCAAACUGUUCUUAACCCCUUAAGGACACAUGACAUGUGUAACAUGUCAUGAUUCCCUUUUAUUCCGGAAGUUUGGUCCUUAAGGGGUUAAACCAGGGCCGGAUUAACAUAGGGGCUGAUGGAGCUGCAGCUCCAGGCCCAGGCCCAUGGAAUAGGCUGUGGGGAUAUUUAUGGGAUAAUAAUAGUAAACAGUUGAGAAUUGCCCACUAAUUCAAUUCUCAGAUCCCAAAUAUCGU